This 500-nucleotide ribosomal RNA is filed under the name uncultured fungus. RNAcentral describes it as "partial 18S ribosomal RNA". It matches the Rfam family "Eukaryotic small subunit ribosomal RNA", at positions 539 to 1050 of the family's 1831-position model. The record is from RNAcentral. Lineage: Eukaryota; Fungi.
UUUUGAGGGGCACAUUUGGGGCCCCCACCCGCGGGAAUUCCCCCUCCCCAAGAGUAUAUUAAAGAUGUUGCAGUUAAAAAAAUCGUAGUUGAACCUUGGGCCUGGCUGGCCGGUCCGCCUCACCGCGUGUAAUGGUCCGGCCGGGCCUUUCCUUUUGGGGAGCCUCCUAUCCCUUUCUGGGGGUGGUGGGGGACCCGGAGUUUUUCUUUUAAAAAAAAAGAAUGUUCAAAACAGGCCUUUGUUCGAAAACACUAGCACGGGAAAAUAGAAUAUGAGGCGUGGGUUUAUUUUUUUGGUGUUUAGGAGCCCCGUAAAGAUUUAUAGGGGGACUGGGGGGGGCCAGUAUUCUCGCGUCUCAGGGGAAAAAUUUGGAGAGUUUGAGGAGUAAAAAUUGUGAAAACACUUUUCACAAGGGUUUUUUCUAUUAUCAGAAAGAAAAGUAGGGGAUUGAAAAAGAUCAGAUACCGUUGUAGUUUUUACCCUUAAAUAACCGGAUUAGA